AGCGUACACGGUGGAUGCCCUGGCAGUCAGAGGCGAUGAAGGGCGUGCUAAUCUGCGAUAAGCGCCGGUAAGGUGAUAUGAACCGUUAUAACCGGCGAUACCCGAAUGGGGAAACCCAGUGUGAUUCGUCACACUAUCAUUAACUGAAUCCAUAGGUUAAUGAGGCGAACCGGGGGAACUGAAACAUCUAAGUACCCCGAGGAAAAGAAAUCAACCGAGAUUCCCCCAGUAGCGGCGAGCGAACGGGGAGGAGCCCAGAGCCUGAAUCAGCAUGUGUGUUAGUGGAAGCGUCUGGAAAGGUGCGCGAUACAGGGUGACAGCCCCGUACACAAAAGCGCAUGUGCUGUGAGCUCGAUGAGUAGGGCGGGACACGUGGUAUCCUGUCUGAAUAUGGGGGGACCAUCCUCCAAGGCUAAAUACUCCUGACUGACCGAUAGUGAACCAGUACCGUGAGGGAAAGGCGAAAAGAACCCCGGCGAGGGGAGUGAAAAAGAACCUGAAACCGUGUACGUACAAGCAGUGGGAGCCCCACCACUAAGCCAGUGGUGAACUCCACAUCCGCAUCCUUUGCUGAGGAUACGGUUAACGGAGCGAAAGCGACGUUCAACCGCAAAACAAGCAGAGGGGGCUUAGUGGUGGGGUGACUGCGUACCUUUUGUAUAAUGGGUCAGCGACUUAUAUUCUGUAGCAAGGUUAACCGUAUAGGGGAGCCGGAGGGAAACCGAGUCUUAAUUGGGCGUUAAGUUGCAGGGUAUAGACCCGAAACCCGGUGAUCUAGCCAUGGGCAGGUUGAAGGUUGGGUAACACUAACUGGAGGACCGAACCGACUAAUGUUGAAAAAUUAGCGGAUGACCUGUGGCUGGGGGUGAAAGGCCAAUCAAACCGGGAGAUAGCUGGUUCUCCCCGAAAGCUAUUUAGGUAGCGCCUCGUGAAUUCAUCUCCGGGGGUAGAGCACUGUUUCGGCUAGGGGGCCAUCCCGGCUUACCAACCCGAUGCAAACUGCGAAUACCGGAGAAUGUUAUCACGGGAGACACACGGCGGGUGCUAACGUCCGUCGUGAAGAGGGAAACAACCCAGACCGCCAGCUAAGGUCCCAAAGUCAUGGUUAAGUGGGAAACGAUGUGGGAAGGCCCAGACAGCCAGGAUGUUGGCUUAGAAGCAGCCAUCAUUUAAAGAAAGCGUAAUAGCUCACUGGUCGAGUCGGCCUGCGCGGAAGAUGUAACGGGGCUAAACCAUGCACCGAAGCUGCGGCAGCGAACGUAUCACCCAAGACAACUUUACGGAGUUGACGAUUGACGGAGCGAAGCGACGUCAAAGCGUUCAUUAAAGUCGAGUUGGCUUAGGGAUACGUUCGUUGGGUAGGGGAGCGUUCUGUAAGCCUGUGAAGGUGUGUCGUGAGGCAUGCUGGAGGUAUCAGAAGUGCGAAUGCUGACAUAAGUAACGAUAAAGCGGGUGAAAAGCCCGCUCGCCGGAAGACCAAGGGUUCCUGUCCAACGUUAAUCGGGGCAGGGUGAGUCGACCCCUAAGGCGAGGCCGAAAGGCGUAGUCGAUGGGAAACGGGUUAAUAUUCCCGUACUUGGUGUUACUGCGAAGGGGGGACGGAGAAGGCUAUGUUGGCCGGGCGACGGUUGUCCCGGUUUAAGCGUGUAGGUGUGUGUUCCAGGUAAAUCCGGUUCACUUUAACACUGAGGCGUGACGACGAGGCACUACGGUGCUGAAGCAACAAAUGCCCUGCUUCCAGGAAAAGCCUCUAAGCAUCAGGUAACACGAAAUCGUACCCCAAACCGACACAGGUGGUCAGGUAGAGAAUACCAAGGCGCUUGAGAGAACUCGGGUGAAGGAACUAGGCAAAAUGGUGCCGUAACUUCGGGAGAAGGCACGCUGACACGUAGGUGAAGUGAUUUACUCAUGGAGCUGAAGUCAGUCGAAGAUACCAGCUGGCUGCAACUGUUUAUUAAAAACACAGCACUGUGCAAACACGAAAGUGGACGUAUACGGUGUGACGCCUGCCCGGUGCCGGAAGGUUAAUUGAUGGGGUCAGCGUAAGCGAAGCUCCUGAUCGAAGCCCCGGUAAACGGCGGCCGUAACUAUAACGGUCCUAAGGUAGCGAAAUUCCUUGUCGGGUAAGUUCCGACCUGCACGAAUGGCGUAAUGAUGGCCAGGCUGUCUCCACCCGAGACUCAGUGAAAUUGAACUCGCUGUGAAGAUGCAGUGUACCCGCGGCAAGACGGAAAGACCCCGUGAACCUUUACUAUAGCUUGACACUGAACAUUGAGCCUUGAUGUGUAGGAUAGGUGGGAGGCUUUGAAGUGUGGACGCCAGUCUGCAUGGAGCCGACCUUGAAAUACCACCCUUUAAUGUUUGAUGUUCUAACGUGGACCCGUAAUCCGGGUUGCGGACAGUGUCUGGUGGGUAGUUUGACUGGGGCGGUCUCCUCCUAAAGAGUAACGGAGGAGCACGAAGGUUGGCUAAUCCUGGUCGGACAUCAGGAGGUUAGUGCAAUGGCAUAAGCCAGCUUGACUGCGAGCGUGACGGCGCGAGCAGGUGCGAAAGCAGGUCAUAGUGAUCCGGUGGUUCUGAAUGGAAGGGCCAUCGCUCAACGGAUAAAAGGUACUCCGGGGAUAACAGGCUGAUACCGCCCAAGAGUUCAUAUCGACGGCGGUGUUUGGCACCUCGAUGUCGGCUCAUCACAUCCUGGGGCUGAAGUAGGUCCCAAGGGUAUGGCUGUUCGCCAUUUAAAGUGGUACGCGAGCUGGGUUUAGAACGUCGUGAGACAGUUCGGUCCCUAUCUGCCGUGGGCGCUGGAGAACUGAGGGGGGCUGCUCCUAGUACGAGAGGACCGGAGUGGACGCAUCACUGGUGUUCGGGUUGUCAUGCCAAUGGCACUGCCCGGUAGCUAAAUGCGGAAGAGAUAAGUGCUGAAAGCAUCUAAGCACGAAACUUGCCCCGAGAUGAGUUCU
Molecule: ribosomal RNA, 2960 nt
Filed under: Salmonella enterica subsp. enterica serovar Typhimurium
Lineage: Bacteria; Pseudomonadati; Pseudomonadota; Gammaproteobacteria; Enterobacterales; Enterobacteriaceae
Description: bacterial LSU rRNA
Rfam family: Bacterial large subunit ribosomal RNA
Source: RNAcentral